Molecule: long non-coding RNA, 684 nt
Filed under: Capsicum annuum
Lineage: Eukaryota; Viridiplantae; Streptophyta; Magnoliopsida; Solanales; Solanaceae
Description: long non-coding RNA (CANN_LNC022356)
Source: RNAcentral
CCAUAAACGUUAGCAUUGGUUAACAUUGUUUAAUUUGAUUUCUGGUCUUCCACGUAAAUAAUACAUGCAUAUAAUAUAUAGAAAAAUUGAUGUACUUUUAUGCAAGAUAUAGCGUUGAAUUAGAAUACAAAUACUAAUAAUAUGAUUAGAAUUAGUAAAUGACAAGAACAUUCCAAUACUAUUCAAACUUGUAUUUUAUGUUUCCUCCCAAACACAUCCAAAGAUUAGAAGAACAAAACUAAAUUCUCCUAGAUAUCCUACUCGUCAAUCUUCAUCUUCAUCAAUUGUCUUAUCAGAGAAGAGAGAUGAUCACCAUUCUAAAAGACUGUCGUCUCCGGCCAGCCUCGAAAAUUAUUCUGAUGAGACAUAAUAGAAAGGUACGUAGAUGUGCCUAUAGGAGCAUUAUUUCUAGUCUCCCCUUGGCGGCCGUCACCUGAUGUACUCAUUAUUAUGGCUUGAGUUUAAAAAAUCGCGACUUCACAAAAUAUGAGGAGAGACAUGAAAGCAUAUUGUCAUCGCGAAGAGUUGGAAAGCAAGCAUCAAGCCUCACAAGCAUAAAUGGAGGUGAGAUGCAAAUCACGCAAGCUGGUACGGAUAAAAGCCCACUCUUCCCGGUUAUUGGGGUAGAAGAGAUAGGCUGCUAGCGCCUCAGACUCUUCUCUGUGAAACGAAAUAAAAAAAGAG